UACCAGCGCCGGAGGCAAGGAGAUUGCAAAUGGAAAUCAAUAAUGGAAAGGCCCCUGCCAUAUCUGCUAGCCAUAGCCAAAGCCAUAUAGCCUAUAUUAUGGGCCACUCUCUUACACUUGUUGUGUUCUGUUUUGUUGUUUCUCUGCUCUUCGCUGCGCUGCUCUGCUCUGCUCUGCUUUUCCUUGGCUCGAAUUCAGCUUUUUGCAUAACAGAUAUAACAAACAAACAAACAAACAAACACAUGCAUUAUUAAUUUCGCCUUUUGUUUUCCACUUGCAGUAUUCUUUGGCUGGAAUUCAGAUAUAGCCGGGGAUCGGAAUCGGGAUUGGAAUCAGAAUUGGAAACGGAAUUAAAAUCAUAUAUAUUCGGAUCAAAAAUCGCGCGAGGCAAGUGACUUUAAACGCAGAAAUCAUUGUUCAAUGACAGCAGUCGCGGCAGUUUUUACCGCUGUUGCUACUGCAUCUGCUGCUGGUCACGCCCCUUCCGAAUCCGCCCCCAAAGACGACCCCAUUGCCUCGGAUAAAGCCAAAGUGCACAGUUAACAAAGCCCCAAAGCAACCGAAACUGAAAGAUUUAGUUGUGGUCCUGGUCACAAGUGACUUCAUUGUGAAUAAGCAGAGAACGCAGGACGUAUUUAAAAUAUGCUGGAUAACUUCUCGCAGUGCACUUAAAGAUGCAUACGUGUGUGCGUGGUUGGUAUCAAAUAACGAACAGCAUCCACAACAACCAGCACUCGUUGGCAGGAUGUGCGAAACGGAGUGAUGAUGAGGCAAUUUGUUUAGGCCAGUUAUGCAUCAUUUGGGCGACAGGGCAGUUCAGUACAGAGCAUGGCAAUGGUAAUCGGUGUAUGGUGUCCGAUGUUGAAAGGAUUGUGGAUUGUGGAUUGCGGAUUGAGGACGAAGGACGAUGGGCUUAGGUAGGCAAUUCGAUUUGACGGCGCACAAUUUCCGGUCGCGCCCGGCACUGCGUUACUCAUUACAAGCGAAUAAGCGCCAAGUCCUUGCGGUCAGAAGCGCGUGCCGCCCCACUCAGCUUUAUUCGCACACACGGAAAACUUUCACAAUUAGCGGCCGGAUUCCGGCUGCGAUCCUGCAGGAUAUUUCCGGACUACCGCCGCCGGCAGCAGCAGCAGCAGCAGCUCCUCGGAUAAUGUGCGCCCAGAAAGAUCUCGCAGGCGGAGCAGUAAUGAUUCGUUGUCCGGCAGCCAUUCCAUAGAUACGGAAACAGGCAAGCGCAGCAGCACCAACUGAAAACAAAAACAUAGAUACAUAUAUACGGAUAUGAGUAUAUCAAAGUUCGAGCUGCGGAGGAGUUGGUGGCAGUGGGUUGCUUCCAUAAUCCGUGACCUGCUGCUCCGGUGCAAUGCCAAAGAUGAAGGGUCCUCCACCUACUCCUAGUGCCACUCCUGAUCCUGAUCCUGUUCCGCCUCCACAACCACCGGCAAUGAUGGGCGAUGAACUUUCCUGGACGGCAGGACGACGCAUGCAAAAGUCAUCCUCGAAGCGGGAGGCAAAAAGACCAGUGGCAUGACCGGGAUUAUCCGGAUAAUAUCUAGUGGGCGAGGAGGUGGACGUGGUGUGCGAACUGCUGCAGUUGCUCGAACUGCUCGAGCUGACCUGGCCACCCGCGGUGCCGGGCAGCAUGACCAAACCAGUUUGGCGAUCAAAGCAAAAAUCACUGGAUUGAGCCGUUGGCGACGGUGGACUGCCAUAGGGAUAGCCAAUGUGUGGACUCUGAAGGUGUUGAUUAUAUUGCUGGGACAGGGCAUCGAAGUCAUUGAAUCCAUGCAAUCCCUUCGCGCUAUCCCGUUUCUGUUGCUGCACAUAUGGUGAGAUGUAUGUCCUUAGUGGCGGCAAUGGUGGCAGAUUCUGCACUUGCAUCCCAGACUUUGCACCCUUUUUACCCACACUCAUCACAGUGAGUUGCGGUCGCCUGUCGCCCAAAAGCGGUCUCUGCGAAUUGUUAUACGGAUGGUUGCGCUGCAUACAGGUGUCCUCGUAGUCAUCCUGAUCCUGGUCAUGAUCCAUCAGAUCGUGACAGUCGUAGGUGGCCUGCAGGUGCUCAUAAUACUUGAGACUCUUCAUAUUCGCAUUUGGUGGCGGCAGAGGUGGUGGUUGCUGUUGCAUAUGUUGUUGCGGUGCUGUUAGUGGUUGCUGUUGCUGUUGCUGCAGAUGCUGUUGCUCCUGAUGCUGUUGCGGAUUGCCCGGGGAGUCCAGAAUCUCAAUGCCACCCGUUGUCACGCCCCCAAACAGCUUGGCCAAUUUCACAGUCAUCUCUCCUGCGUGCCAGAGUUGGCAAAACUUUUUCAAUUAAAAUGUUGCCCAAUGCCAAAGACAAUGACAGUUGGCUGGGGAGAACGACGACGAUGGCGAUGACGACACAAGUUUGCCACAAUUUUCCACCAGUUUGCGUUGCUGCAGGAGAGUCAAAGAACGAGAAUUUGUACAUAUAUAUUUGAAAAAGAUUCGCAUUUAUUGGCAGUAAAAUUCAUAUAUACAUAUAGGAAAUAGCCUAGUAUUUCGCAACUCUUUUGCAUGUUGCAGCUGUUGUACUUCUGAUUGCACCUCCUUUGAGCCAAGAACCAGUAACGGAAACUGUAAUGGGAUAUGUCAGCCACAAUUGCAACUUUAGUCACCAGAGCAACAUCAGUUGAUGCAAUUGUUGCAGCCACAGCGGAAGCAAGAGGAGGAGCUCUUAGCAACUUAUGUUAUUAUAGAUACAGUAACUGUAACAGGAACCACAAACAACAGGAACUAUAACAACCAGAAUCUCUGUCAGCAG
Drosophila melanogaster (fruit fly) is the source of this 2782-nucleotide non-coding RNA. The record is from Ensembl. Lineage: Eukaryota; Metazoa; Arthropoda; Insecta; Diptera; Drosophilidae.